This 449-nucleotide ribosomal RNA is filed under the name uncultured bacterium. RNAcentral's name for it is "bacterial SSU rRNA". It matches the Rfam family "Bacterial small subunit ribosomal RNA", at positions 355 to 796 of the family's 1533-position model. The record is from RNAcentral.
UAGGGAAUCUUCCGCAAUGGACGAAAGUCUGACGGAGCAACGCCGCGUGAGUGAUGAAGGCUUUCGGGUCGUAAAACUCUGUUGUUAGGGAAGAACAAGUACGAGAGUAACUGCUCGUACCUUGACGGUACCUAACCAGAAAGCCACGGCUAACUACGUGCCAGCAGCCGCGGUAAUACGUAGGUGGCAAGCGUUAUCCGGAAUUAUUGGGCGUAAAGCGCGCGCAGGCGGUUUCUUAAGUCUGAUGUGAAAGCCCACGGCUCAACCGUGGAGGGUCAUUGGAAACUGGGGAACUUGAGUGCAGAAGAGAAAAGCGGAAUUCCACGUGUAGCGGUGAAAUGCGUAGAGAUGUGGAGGAACACCAGUGGCGAAGGCGGCUUUUUGGUCUGUAACUGACGCUGAGGCGCGAAAGCGUGGGGAGCAAACAGGAUUAGAUACCCCCGUAGUCC